UUCAACGAUUAAGUUUAUUGGGUCGUCUAAAUUCAAUAUGAAUUUUAUUUUUAUUUUCGUUUUAGUGUGCAUUGUCGUUGUGCAUGGAACCGAGCAGCCUGAGCUAGCUGAACGGACAUUUGGUCAUCUUGGCGGUCUUGGUGGUCUUGGUGGUUUCCAUGGUCAUGGUUUACACCAUCAUCAUCAUGGUCAUGGUUUAGGUGGACCCUUUUUACAACCUGGUAUCCCAUAUGGUCGCUAAAUGAAUCGAGAAGGAAUUAUACACUAGAGUUAUUACUAAUGCAGUUCUUAUUGUCCUUCGAAAAAAUUCUUUAUUAAUUAUUUCAUCAUAUUUGUGUGUAUACUAUAAAUUAAGCUGGAUAUAUUUAACUUUUUGAUUCAAACUGUGGUAGUUUUGCAAAACGCCUCAAAUUUUACUUAUUCAAAAGUUGCUUGAAACUGCGAUUCGAAAGCUAAAUAGCCCCAAGAGAAGUAAUUUAACUAAUAGGUCCAGUUUUUUUCUGUGGUUGCACCUAUGAAGUUGUUACUGCGUUAACAAUGAAGAAUCUCUUACUUGUUUCAAUGUAAAUACUGAAUUUCUCAGAAAAGCCACAACAAGCCACCUCGAUUGUUUUAACGAAAAGAGAAAAACAAGAAUAAUCUUGUUUGUGUCAUGAAAUUCGGCGAAAAUAGUUGAAUAAAUAAUACAAUAUAAUUUUAUUUACAUCAAUUCAAAGAUGAUUUCAACUUGAUAAAAUAAAUAUUUUUUCAAUUCAAAUGAGAGA
Long non-coding RNA from Contarinia nasturtii (swede midge), 764 nucleotides. RefSeq lists it as uncharacterized. The record is from RefSeq and is a predicted model, not a curated record. Lineage: Eukaryota; Metazoa; Arthropoda; Insecta; Diptera; Cecidomyiidae. The transcript has 2 exons.